GAUGAACGCUGGCGGCGUGCCUAAUACAUGCAAGUCGAGCGAACGGAUGAGAAGCUUGCUUCUCUGAUGUUAGCGGCGGACGGGUGAGUAACACGUGGAUAACCUACCUAUAAGACUGGGAUAACUUCGGGAAACCGGAGCUAAUACCGGAUAAUAUUUUGAACCGCAUGGUUCAAAAGUGAAAGACGGUCUUGCUGUCACUUAUAGAUGGAUCCGCGCUGCAUUAGCUAGUUGGUAAGGUAACGGCUUACCAAGGCAACGAUGCAUAGCCGACCUGAGAGGGUGAUCGGCCACACUGGAACUGAGACACGGUCCAGACUCCUACGGGAGGCAGCAGUAGGGAAUCUUCCGCAAUGGGCGAAAGCCUGACGGAGCAACGCCGCGUGAGUGAUGAAGGGCUUCGGAUCGUAAAACUCUGUUAUUAGGGAAGAACAUAUGUGUAAGUAACUGUGCACAUCUGGACGGUACCUAAUCAGAAAGCCACGGCUAACUACGG
Molecule: ribosomal RNA, 496 nt
Filed under: uncultured bacterium
Lineage: Bacteria
Description: partial 16S ribosomal RNA
Rfam family: Bacterial small subunit ribosomal RNA
Source: RNAcentral